This 455-nucleotide ribosomal RNA is filed under the name uncultured Alloprevotella sp. RNAcentral describes it as "bacterial SSU rRNA". It matches the Rfam family "Bacterial small subunit ribosomal RNA", at positions 341 to 792 of the family's 1533-position model. Lineage: Bacteria; Pseudomonadati; Bacteroidota; Bacteroidia; Bacteroidales; Prevotellaceae. The record is from RNAcentral.
ACGGGAGGCAGCAGUGAGGAAUAUUGGUCAAUGGGCGCGAGCCUGAACCAGCCAAGUAGCGUGCAGGAUGACGGCCCUCCGGGUUGUAAACUGCUUUUAGUUGGGAAUAAAAGAGCGUACGUGUACGCUGUAUUGUAUGUACCAUCAGAAAAAGGACCGGCUAAUUCCGUGCCAGCAGCCGCGGUAAUACGGAAGGUCCGGGCGUUAUCCGGAUUUAUUGGGUUUAAAGGGAGCGUAGGCGGGCUUUUAAGUCAGUGGUCAAAGCGUGUGGCUCAACCAUACCACGCCAUUGAUACUGGAGGCCUUGAGUGCACAUAAGGAUGGUGGAAUUCAUGGUGUAGCGGUGAAAUGCUUAGAUAUCAUGAAGAACUCCGAUUGCGAAGGCAGCUGUCCGGGGUGUAACUGACGCUAAUGCUCGAAAGUGCGGGUAUCAAACAGGAUUAGAUACCCUGGUA